AGCCUUGUCCCAGUGAAUGUCCAGUGCCAGUCCAUGGAGGAGGGCACCAACUGACUGGCCAGGUGGGCUGGAGCUCAGUGGGGCUGGGGUGGGACAGGCCCCCUCUGUGAGGUUGUUCUCCCUGCUGCAGGCUGAGAGAGACAGCGAAGAGCCAAUGGAAGUGGACACGGCGAGAGAUCUAAAAGGCGAUGUAGAGGAGAUGGAGGUGGAGACGCAAGAGGAAGAAGAGAUGGACGUGGAAGAGGAAGGCGAGAAGGAGGAGGACAUGAUCCUGGGAUAAGGACACCCCGCCUCAGCAGCAGGACUGACGGACGUGCCGGCCACGGAAUCGGCCACUUGUACAUAUGUUUUACAUGUUGUUCUGUAAAUACAUUUUAUAUUAUUGAAUUUUUAA
Molecule: long non-coding RNA, 394 nt
Organism: Pipra filicauda (Wire-tailed manakin)
Lineage: Eukaryota; Metazoa; Chordata; Aves; Passeriformes; Pipridae
Exons: 2
Source: RefSeq, a predicted model, not a curated record